GACUGCCAGGGACUGGGGAGUUGCUGUUUCAUGGGUACAGGGUUUCAGUCUGGGAAGAUGAAGAAGUUCUGGAGCUAGAUGGCGGUGACGGGUGUUGCAAAACAAUGUGAAUAUUUUGAUUAUUCUCAGAAGAACCAUGUCCAACAACUGAAAACCUUAGAAUUUCCAAGGACACAGGAUUUCUUCUAUAAUUAAGAAACCUUCAAUAACAAUGCUGCCAUUAUAAGUCCAGCAGUCCAGUUUCAAAGUACAGCCUAUUCGCUGGAUCAUGAGAAUAUGUUACUAAGAAGAAUCACUUCAUCCAUGGGAAGCUGCAGUCAGCAUUUUAAAGCAACACUGCCACCAGAAGACAAGAAAGAAAAGUAACUACUAACGACUACGGGGCAAGUUAAAUACAAAAUAUUUACCUGGCCUCCCAACGCGGCUACAUUACACCCUGCCUACCACCAACUCUUCAGAAAGGCUCAUUCUUUCUCGUACCUCAUCUUUGUAACUUUUUUCCCCCCAGCAUUAGCCUAUCUACUA
Long non-coding RNA from Gorilla gorilla gorilla (western lowland gorilla), 525 nucleotides. RefSeq lists it as uncharacterized. NCBI's taxonomy places the organism in Eukaryota, Metazoa, Chordata, Mammalia, Primates, Hominidae. The record is from RefSeq and is a predicted model, not a curated record. The transcript is spliced from 3 exons.